Clupea harengus (Atlantic herring) is the source of this 301-nucleotide long non-coding RNA. Lineage: Eukaryota; Metazoa; Chordata; Actinopteri; Clupeiformes; Clupeidae. The record is from Ensembl.
GUGCGUGUGAGAGGUUACAUUUUCAGUUGUGCGUGUGAGAGGUUACAUUUUCAGUUGUGCGUGUGAGAGGUUACAUUUUCAGUUGUGCGUGUGAGAGGUUACAUUUUCAGUUGUAUGUGUGAGAGGUUACAUUUUCAGUUGUAUGUGUGAGAGGUGUUCACUGUGGUAUAAGAGAGGUUCUCACUCAUGAGUAUGAGAGGUUUUCAGUUGUCAUUGUGUGAGGUUCCAUUUUCACUAGUGUACGUGAGGGGUGUUUAGUAGUGAAUGUGAGUGUAUUUCAGUAGUGUUUGUGAAAGGCAAA